GAGGGUAUAGCUCAGUGACAGAAUGUGUGCUUAGCAUGCAUAAGGUCCUGGGUUCAAUCCCUGGUACCUCCA
This 72-nucleotide transfer RNA is filed under the name Camelus bactrianus (Bactrian camel). It matches the Rfam family "tRNA". Rfam says of the family: Transfer RNA (tRNA) molecules are approximately 80 nucleotides in length. Their secondary structure includes four short double-helical elements and three loops (D, anti-codon, and T loops). The record is from Rfam by way of RNAcentral. Lineage: Eukaryota; Metazoa; Chordata; Mammalia; Artiodactyla; Camelidae. RNAcentral also lists the same sequence under 1 other name.